GUGCUCGCUUCAGCAGCACAUAUACUAAAAUUGGAAUGAUACAGGGAAGAUUUGCAUGGUCCCUGUGCAAGGAAGACACGCAAAUUAAGUGAAUGUGGAAAUAAGU
Ochotona curzoniae (black-lipped pika) is the source of this 106-nucleotide small nuclear RNA. Lineage: Eukaryota; Metazoa; Chordata; Mammalia; Lagomorpha; Ochotonidae. The record is from RefSeq and is a predicted model, not a curated record.